ACGCCAGCAAAAUCUGGCGUCGGGAUUGAGACCCCGGAUAUCUGAAAAGCGCACAGCCGCGCUAAGCGGUUUUUUU
Leminorella grimontii is the source of this 76-nucleotide non-coding RNA. Lineage: Bacteria; Pseudomonadati; Pseudomonadota; Gammaproteobacteria; Enterobacterales; Budviciaceae. The record is from Rfam.